AUUGAACGCUGGCGGCAGGCCUAACACAUGCAAGUCGAGCGGAUGAAGGGGGCUUGCUCCUGGAUUCAGCGGCGGACGGGUGAGUAAUGCCUAGGAAUCUGCCUGGGAGUGGGGGAUAACGUCCGGAAACGGGCGCUAAUACCGCAUACGUCCUGAGGGAGAAAGUGGGGGAUCUUCGGACCUCACGCUAUCAGAUGAGCCUAGGUCGGAUUAGCUAGUUGGUGGGGUAAAGGCCUACCAAGGCGACGAUCCGUAACUGGUCUGAGAGGAUGAUCAGGCACACUGGAACUGAGACACGGUCCAGACUCCUACGGGAGGCAGCAGUGGGGAAUAUUGGACAAUGGGCGAAAGCCUGAUCCAGCCAUGCCGCGUGUGUGAAGAAGGUCUUCGGAUUGUAAAGCACUUUAAGUUGGGAGGAAGGGCAGUAAGUUAAUACCUUGCUGUUUUGACGUUACCAACAGAAUAAGCACCGGCUAACUUCGUG
This 484-nucleotide ribosomal RNA is filed under the name uncultured bacterium. RNAcentral's name for it is "partial 16S ribosomal RNA". It matches the Rfam family "Bacterial small subunit ribosomal RNA", at positions 30 to 507 of the family's 1533-position model. The record is from RNAcentral.